AAGAAAUACUUCUGAGCCUGAGGACAGCCAACCAGUAACUGCAGCAGGGAUGUGACUACAGAGAACCGCUUGUGCUUGUCUCCUGGGAGCUCCCACAGCCCUGUGGAUGAUCUUUCGACAUCCACCAGUCAGUGGGACCCUGGGAUCCCCAGGUUUCUGCAGUUUACUACAGCCCUCACUGGUGAGUGAAAAGGUGGAGACCGUGCUUUCCAGCGCAAUCCAUGCGGCACCUUUGGCCACUGCUGAAACUGUCUGCAUGAAAGCACACAAGCAGGUGCUAACUCAUCGUCUCUGCUGGAGACAGUACUGGGUGAGGUGUCCUUUGUCUGGACCCGUAUGGCGCUCUUACGUUCUCACAGCUGACACAGGGCUGAUGUAG
This 379-nucleotide long non-coding RNA is filed under the name Apteryx rowi (Okarito brown kiwi). RNAcentral's name for it is "lncRNA (ENSARWG00000016248.1)". Lineage: Eukaryota; Metazoa; Chordata; Aves; Apterygiformes; Apterygidae. The record is from RNAcentral.